Molecule: ribosomal RNA, 387 nt
Filed under: Cotesia sp. HD-315
Lineage: Eukaryota; Metazoa; Arthropoda; Insecta; Hymenoptera; Braconidae
Description: partial 28S ribosomal RNA
Source: RNAcentral
CGAAUGAGGAGAUUCAUCGUCAGCUUAUUCAGUAUUAAUGCAGGCUAUGAUGUGAUAAUAGAAUCCUUGUGGUCACUAGAUUAUACUUGCUUGUAUUAUUUUUGCUGGGUAUGUCGGCGUGCACUUCUCCUCUAGUAGAACGUCGCAACCCGUUGGAUGUUUAUCUAUGGCUUGAAUGGUAGCCUUUGAUAUUUUUUAUAUUAAAGACCUUCGAUGUCCUGAUAAACUGUUUGACGGUAUACAUAUGGUAUUGAGCCGCAAUUAUUUGCGUUAGACUUGCCGCAAGUAUGACUUUAUUCUAGUAGUGCGGAUCUAAUGCCGUCGCUGGACAAAGUCUGCUGUUAGCUGUGUAAUGUCUUUAACUGGCUUAUUUACCGGUUAGCGAUG